GACAGGGGGCUCGAGCGUUAAUCGGAAUCACUGGGCUUAAAGGGUGCGCAGGCGGUCCCGCAAGUGCUUUGUGAAAUCCCACGGCUCAACCGUGGAACAGCAGGGCAGACUGCGGGACUCGAGGCAGGUAGGGGCGGACAGAACUGUAGGUGGAGCGGUGAAAUGCGUAGAUAUCUACAGGAAUGCCGAUGGGGAAGCCGGUCCGCUGGGCCUGUCCUGACGCUCAGGCACGAAAGCGUGGGGAUCAAACAGG
This 253-nucleotide ribosomal RNA is filed under the name uncultured prokaryote. RNAcentral describes it as "partial 16S ribosomal RNA". It matches the Rfam family "Bacterial small subunit ribosomal RNA", at positions 524 to 776 of the family's 1533-position model. The record is from RNAcentral.